AACGAACGCUGGCGGCGGGCCUAACACAUGCAAGUCGAGCGGACCCUUCGGGGUUAGCGGCGGACGGGUGAGUAACGCGUGGGAAUAUGCCCUUCUCUACGGAAUAGUCUCGGGAAACUGGGGGUAAUACCGUAUACGCCCUAUGGGGGAAAGAUUUAUCGGAGAAGGAUUAGCCCGCGUUGGAUUAGGUAGUUGGUGGGGUAAUGGCCUACCAAGCCGACGAUCCAUAGCUGGUUUGAGAGG
RNAcentral lists this ribosomal RNA (243 nucleotides) under uncultured bacterium. RNAcentral's name for it is "partial 16S ribosomal RNA". It matches the Rfam family "Bacterial small subunit ribosomal RNA", at positions 29 to 299 of the family's 1533-position model. The record is from RNAcentral.